UUCGCAAUGCCCGAAAGGGUGACGAAGCGACGCCGCGUGUGGGAAGAAGGCCUUCGGGUUGUAAACCACUGUCGGGAGUUAAGAAAUACAAGGAUAUUAAUAGUGUCUUUGUUUGACCAAGGCUCCGGAGGAAGCCACGGCUAACUCUGUGCCAGCAGCCGCGGUAAUACAGAGGCGGCAAGCGUUGUUCGGAAUUAUUGGGCGUAAAGAGCACGUAGGCGGCUAUGUAAGUCGGUUGUGAAAGCCUUCCGCUCAACGGAAGAACAGCAUCCGAUACUACAUGGCUUGAGUGCGGGAGGGGAGAGUGGAACUUCUGGUGGAGCGGUGAAAUGCGUAGAUAUCAGAAGGAACGCCGGCGGCGAAAGCGGCUCUCUGGCCCAUAACUGACGCUGAGUGUGCGAAAGCUAGGGGAGCAAACGGGAUUAGAUACCCCGGUAGUCCUAGCCGUAAACGAUGGGCACUAAGUAGAGGGGUUUUA
Molecule: ribosomal RNA, 478 nt
Filed under: uncultured Planctomycetales bacterium
Lineage: Bacteria; Pseudomonadati; Planctomycetota; Planctomycetia; Planctomycetales
Description: bacterial SSU rRNA
Rfam family: Bacterial small subunit ribosomal RNA
Source: RNAcentral